This 913-nucleotide long non-coding RNA is filed under the name Rattus norvegicus (Norway rat). Its description in RNAcentral is "long non-coding RNA NONRATT001130". The record is from RNAcentral. Lineage: Eukaryota; Metazoa; Chordata; Mammalia; Rodentia; Muridae.
GAGCCCCCAGUUCCCCAGCCCUCUAGCCUGAUUGCUCCUUCCCUAAUUCAUUGCACAAGCUCCUACGCUUCUAGUGUCCGCGCUCAUCGCCUCUAAUCCUGCCUGAUUGUCUUUACAGAUGCUCUGAAUUGGUACUGGCCCCUCUCUAACCGGCCAGUGCUGUCUCUGACCAGGCUUGUACUAGCAGCUCACAGCUCCCUAGCCUAGUAGGCAUCCCUAGGUGUGGCUUACCUCUCCACUGUCCAGCUUUGUGUAGGCCAACUGACUGGUAAUUCACUCAUCCCAAAAGCUGCUCUGUGAGGACCACAAUCAUUAGCACAGGUCUGGGCAUUGGGGAUUUACCGAUUCCAUGCCUUACAGUGGACAAUAAACAUCAACUUUAGAGAGGGCGUAGUCUGAGGCCAUUUGGUGGUAAUCCCUCCUAUCCCUCAUGAUUCCUUCUGGAAAAGCUUUUGUAAUUCUGACUUAGUAACUCAAAUAGAUAGCAAAAUUGUAUGCAGAGGGCCUCUCUGCACCCGUUAGUCAUCAAUGACUAGAAUAAUGUCUUUAACAGCUAUAAACCCAUUGACUUUUAAGUAUUAUAAGUAAACAUCAUAUGGGACAACCCUGACUUUCUAUACCCUGCUGUCUGAAACACAGAGAGCAUUUCAGAACCAUAACUCCAAUGCCUUGUACUUUUUCUUUGGGGGGAAAAGGCUUGUAUAAGUUUCAUCAACGCCAAUAAACAUGUUGCUUCCCACUAUGGAUUGGCGUGGUUCUUCCGCAGGGUACUUCGCUGAGCGCAGUGAACUUUUGCUGUUUGUGAAAGCAAUCAGGCUGGGUUUAAAUGAGGACUUGUCUCUUUUUGAGCAUUGUGAGCGUGUAAGGAAAUGAGUGUUUUCUUUGUGAACCAUUAAAUUUAUCCCUGAACUUC